CGGCGUCGAGCGGCGGACGGGUGAGUAAUGCCUAGGAAAUUGCCCUGGUGUGGGGGAUAACCAUUGGAAACGAUGGCUAAUACCGCAUAAUGCCUACGGGUCAAAGAGGGGGACCUUCGGGCCUCUCGCGUCAGGAUAUGCCUAGGUGGGAUUAGCUAGUUGGUGAGGUAAUGGCUCACCAAGGCGACGAUCCCUAGCUGGUCUGAGAGGAUGAUCAGCCACACUGGAACUGAGACACGGUCCAGACUCCUACGGGAGGCAGCAGUGGGGAAUAUUGCACAAUGGGCGCAAGCCUGAUGCAGCCAUGCCGCGUGUGUGAAGAAGGCCUUCGGGUUGUAAAGCACUUUCAGUCGUGAGGAAGGUAGUGUAGUUAAUAGCUGCAUUAUUUGACGUUAGCGACAGAAGAAGCACCGGCUAACUCCGUGCCAGCAGCCGCGGUAAUACGGAGGGUGCGAGCGUUAAUCGGAAUUACUGGGCGUAAAGCGCAUGCAGGUGGUUUGUUAAGUCAGAUGUGAAAGCCCGGGGCUCAACCUCGGAAUAGCAUUUGAAACUGGCAGACUAGAGUACUGUAGAGGGGGGUAGAAUUUCAGGUGUAGCGGUGAAAUGCGUAGAGAUCUGAAGGAAUACCGGUGGCGAAGGCGGCCCCCUGGACAGAUACUGACACUCAGAUGCGAAAGCGUGGGGAGCAAACAGGAUUAGAUACCCUGGUAGUCCACGCCGUAAACGAUGUCUACUUGGAGGUUGUGGCCUUGAGCCGUGGCUUUCGGAGCUAACGCGUUAAGUAGACCGCCUGGGGGAGUACGGUCGCAAGAUUAAAACUCAAAUGAAUUGACGGGGGCCCGCACAAGCGGUGGAGCAUGUGGUUUAAUUCGAUGCAACGCGAAGAACCUUACCUACUCUUGACAUCCAGAGAACUUUCCAGAGAUGGAUUGGUGCCUUCGGGAACUCUGAGACAGGUGCUGCAUGGCUGUCGUCAGCUGCUGUUGUGAAAUGUUGGGUUAAUUCCC
Molecule: ribosomal RNA, 1007 nt
Filed under: Vibrio sp.
Lineage: Bacteria; Pseudomonadati; Pseudomonadota; Gammaproteobacteria; Vibrionales; Vibrionaceae
Description: bacterial SSU rRNA
Rfam family: Bacterial small subunit ribosomal RNA
Source: RNAcentral